UUGGAGGGCAAGUCUGGUGCCGGUAGCCGCGGUAAUUCCAGCUCCAAUAGCGUAUAUUAAAGUUGCUGCAGUUAAAAAGCUCGUAGUUGAAUUUCGGGAUCAACUAACUGGUCGUGCCUAUGGUACGUACUGGUUUUGUUGGUUUCUCCCUCUGAGGAGCCGCGAUGUCAUUAACUUGGUGUCGUGGGGAAUCAGACUGUUACUUUGAAAAAAUUAGAGUGUUUAAAGCAGGC
Molecule: ribosomal RNA, 233 nt
Filed under: uncultured Glomus
Lineage: Eukaryota; Fungi; Glomeromycota; Glomeromycetes; Glomerales; Glomeraceae
Description: partial 18S ribosomal RNA
Rfam family: Eukaryotic small subunit ribosomal RNA
Source: RNAcentral